ACGGGGCCCGCACAAGCGGUGAGUAUGUGGUUUAAUUCGACGCAACGCGCAGAACUUACCUGGUCUUGACAUCCCGGGAAUCUUGUGGAAACACGAGAGUGCCUCGCAAGAGGAGCCUGGAGACAGGUGCUGCAUGGCUGUCGUCAGCUCGUGUCGUGAGAUGUUGGGUUAAGUCCCGCAACGAGCGCAACCCUUAUCAUUAGUUGCUACGCAAGGGCACUCUAAUGAGACUGCCGGUGACAAACCGGAGGAAGGUGGGGAUGACGUCAAGUCCUCAUGGCCCUUAUGGGUAGGGCUUCACACGUCAUACAAUGGUCGGUACAGAGGGUUGCCAAGCCGCGAGGCGGAGCCAAUCCCACAAAGCCGAUCGUAGUCCGGAUUGUUCUCUGCAACUCGAGAGCAUGAAGUCGGAAUCGCUAGUAAUCGCAGGUCAGCAUACUGCGGUGAAUACGUUCCCGGGUCUU
RNAcentral lists this ribosomal RNA (464 nucleotides) under uncultured Desulfocapsa sp. RNAcentral's name for it is "bacterial SSU rRNA". It matches the Rfam family "Bacterial small subunit ribosomal RNA", at positions 916 to 1381 of the family's 1533-position model. Lineage: Bacteria; Pseudomonadati; Thermodesulfobacteriota; Desulfobulbia; Desulfobulbales; Desulfocapsaceae. The record is from RNAcentral.